UGUCCCAAUCAUUGCUUUUCGACUUUUAGUAACCCGAGGUUUCAAAUACUUUUCCUUUUCAUGUCUUCAAUUCGAAUUUUACUACUUCGCUUAGAGGGGACGAAAAUAGUUUUGAUUAGGGAGUGUGACGAAUCUAGGAAGGUUGUCAGCUCGACACGUUUUAGGAAAAGUGCAAGUUGUGGAAUGCGUGUAUACAAAAUGUGAACCGGUUCGAUGGGACUACAAAUUGGGUUGUUUUGGAAACGAGUUGUUAUUAUCAUUCAAUGUUGGGCGAGCUUUCAAGAGAAUGGUGGUGAUAGUUCUAGUCGGGUUAGUGAUUAUGUUUUACUUUCUUGUUCCCCUGGAUUAGUUCGGAAGAAAAUUGGAUAUCCCAUUUCUUUUGAUGAAUCAGAUGUCGAGACCUUUGUUGAUGAUGUCUUUACUUGGAUUCUAUUUACAAAACCAAAUAAAUAAUGUCUUUUUUUAUUAGUAAAGUGGAUAUCUCGUCUACUGGUAGGGAGAAGGAUGUUAUUUUAGAACCUUGUAUACUUAUGAUAAGGUGUGUCUGAGACGUCCUCAGUGAGUGAAGGUUGAGAUUUUUCAAAUCUAUCGUGUGUUUUGAGGAUUUAGGAGUAAAGCUUCAUUUCACUACUUUUGAGUUUGAUGUCCUUGAGGUGCGUAAUAUCUCCCCCUCACAAAUUAAGCCAAAUAGUUGGACGUAUAUGUGUGGUUUCGAGAUAUUGUGCAAAGGUUUGGGAUCUCAGCCUUCAAUGAACGUGUUCUUUACCUUUUACAAAACAAAGGGAGUUGAUAAAAGGUUUUGAGUUUCUAUCAGCGCCAAUUCUAACACGAGUCAAUUUCAAAUUUAUGCGUCAAACUAUAAGAGCUAGAAAGAGAAGUACUUUCAAGUCCGAGGCGGGAAAGAUUGUCUUGAGGCUUCUUUGAUUUAUGUAGGCAAGUUCGAUGGCGCCUAUGUCUAUUGUGGAGGGCUUUCCUCAAGAAUUCAAAGGAUAAAAAGGCUAGGAAAGUUGACGAUCCUAUACCCAAAGUGAUCCUAUUGAAGAAAUUCAUCGGAGUAAUAAAAGGAAAAAUUAUGUUGGUAGUUUGGUGUUUGUUGUGGAAAUUGAGGCUGAGACUCGGCUCACUAAGGCAUCUCCCGUAAAGAAUAAAGGAAAGAGUGAUAGAGGUGAGGCAAACAAAGCGAGUCCUUGAUCUUAAAAUUGGGGGUUCAUUUUGGGAUAGGAAUUUUUAUCGGACUGGCUUCGUGAAAGAUCAUUUCAACCUUCCUGAGGAUUUUGAGGCAGCGAGGAAGUCUAAUCAUUUCAGCUUGUUUCGAGAUGCCAUUGUUUCUUGUCUGCGUUCUAUAGUGUUGCUUGAAGUGAUGGAGGAAGAUUUUUAGGCUGUAAAAUCGCGGGAGGAUAAGCUAAAGUAAGUCAAAGGUUAAAUCCUUAGAGGAUUAGUUGAAGGAUUCUGGCAAUUCCUUAAAGACAGCGAGGUAUGAGAAGAAGAAAGUUUAGGAGAAUAAGCGGGAUGCUGAAGCUAAGCUGUUAGAGCUUAAUAACAAUUAUGAUUAAAUGGCGAGGCUUGGAAGGGCCCCCAAAGUAUUACUGAGUUACAGGAGGAGGUACAAAAUGCUAAGAUGAAUGUUGCUGAGAAUAUAGAAAAGGGGUUUGAUCGAGCCAACGAUCAAGUCUUGUUGUGAUACCCAUCUUUUGAUCUAAGUAGUCUCUCAUCGUUCAAGAUUGUUUAGGGAGGGGAGCUGGUCGAUGAGCCAUGAUUGUGCUUUUGUAAUGGUCGAGUUGCUAGUUCAAGCUUUUUGUAAUGGCCUUUUAAGGCGUCUUUUGUUUCCUGUUUCAUGUUGUAAGAGUAGGGUGCCCUUGCUAACUAUUAACAUAUAUUUGGGUGAUUUUCUUCUUGGGCUA
Long non-coding RNA from Medicago truncatula (barrel medic), 1901 nucleotides. RefSeq lists it as uncharacterized. NCBI's taxonomy places the organism in Eukaryota, Viridiplantae, Streptophyta, Magnoliopsida, Fabales, Fabaceae. The record is from RefSeq and is a predicted model, not a curated record. The transcript has 2 exons.